RNAcentral lists this transfer RNA (85 nucleotides) under Actinomycetota bacterium. RNAcentral's name for it is "tRNA-Leu". It matches the Rfam family "tRNA". Rfam says of the family: Transfer RNA (tRNA) molecules are approximately 80 nucleotides in length. Their secondary structure includes four short double-helical elements and three loops (D, anti-codon, and T loops). Lineage: Bacteria; Bacillati; Actinomycetota. RNAcentral also lists the same sequence under 1 other name. The record is from RNAcentral.
GCCCGGAUGGUGGAACAGGUCAGACACGGGGGCCUUAAAAGCCCCUGCCCCUCGGGGCGUGUGGGUUCGAAUCCCACUCCGGGCA